RNAcentral lists this small RNA (575 nucleotides) under Pan troglodytes (chimpanzee). Its description in RNAcentral is "processed transcript". Lineage: Eukaryota; Metazoa; Chordata; Mammalia; Primates; Hominidae. The record is from RNAcentral.
AUGCGCGCCGUCGCGAGCGCCUCUGGGACCGGAAGUGCGGGCGAGCGCGGGUCCCCGGGUCUGACAGGAGCAGCCUGUGGGCACCGCGGCGGUAGUUGGAGGCGGGAGAGGGUCCGGAGGUGGGAGAGGGUCCGUAGCCGCGCCGCCCUGCCCCGCCAUGGGCCUCCUGUCGGACCCGGUUCGCCGGCGCGCGCUCGCCCGCCUAGUGCUGCGCCUCAACGCGCCGUUGUGCGUGCUGAGCUACGUGGCGGGCAUCGCCUGGUUCUUGGCGCUGGUUUUCCCGCCGCUGACCCAGCGCACUUACAUGUCGGAGAACGCCAUGGGCUCCACCAUGGUGGAGGAGCAGUUUGCGGGCGGAGACCGUGCCCGGGCUUUUGCCCGGGACUUCGCCGCCCACCGCAAGAAGUCGGGGGCUCUGCCAGUGGCCUGGCUUGAACGGGCGAUGCGGUCAGUAGGGCUGGAGGUCUACACGCAGAGUUUCUCCCGGAAACUGCCCUUCCCAGAUGAGACCCACGAGCGCUAUGUACUGGGGGAGUGGGAUGGUGUCGGGCACCAACGUGUACGGCAUCCUGCGG